CUACGGGGUGCUCCAGUGGGGAAUAUUGCACAAUGGGCGCAAGCCUGAUGCAGCCAUGCCGCGUGUAUGAAGAAGGCCUUCGGGUUGUAAAGUACUUUCAGCGGGGAGGAAGGGAGUAAAGUUAAUACCUUUGCUCAUUGACGUUACCCGCAGAAGAAGCACCGGCUAAGUCCGUGCCAGCAGCCGCGGUAAUACGGAGGGUGCAAGCGUUAAUCGGAAUUACUGGGCGUAAAGCGCACGCAGGCGGUUUGUUAAGUCAGAUGUGAAAUCCCCGGGCUCAACCUGGGAACUGCAUCUGAUACUGGCAAGCUUGAGUCUUGUAGAGGGGGGUAGAAUUCCAGGUGUAGCGGUGAAAUGCGUAGAGAUCUGGAGGAAUACCGGUGGCGAAGGCGGCCCCCUGGACGAAGACUGACGCUCAGGUGCGAAAGCGUGGGGAGCAAACAGGAUUAGAUACCCCUGUAGUC
Molecule: ribosomal RNA, 464 nt
Filed under: uncultured bacterium
Lineage: Bacteria
Description: partial 16S ribosomal RNA
Rfam family: Bacterial small subunit ribosomal RNA
Source: RNAcentral